This 381-nucleotide unclassified non-coding RNA is filed under the name Hevea brasiliensis (rubber tree). The record is from RNAcentral. Lineage: Eukaryota; Viridiplantae; Streptophyta; Magnoliopsida; Malpighiales; Euphorbiaceae.
GGAAAAGGUGGGAAGUCAGGUGGGCAGGUCUGGCUCCCUGGGGCUUAGCCUACUAUGCUUUCUGGGCCCAUGAUUCUCAACAGAGGCCACAAUCUAUAAUUGUCAAGCAUGAAUUUAGCCAUUUUGGUGGUGUUGAACCAAAUUUUCGACCCAAUACAACAUGGAAGCUUGCCUGUUUGAUGAUCUAUGCUCCUGGGCCGGUGAUUCUCAACAUGCUUAACAGAGGCCACAACCUGUCAUUGUCAACCAUGCCGUUCUUAUGUAUUUAACCAUAUUAACUGUUUAAUUGUGAUUAAUUAAGCAGCAACUCUGAUUGCCUUAAAAUCAAGACCCGAAAAAUAUUAAUAUUUAGUUUCUCUGCGCUGAGGCCACACUGUAGAU